RNAcentral lists this ribosomal RNA (382 nucleotides) under uncultured bacterium. RNAcentral describes it as "bacterial SSU rRNA". It matches the Rfam family "Bacterial small subunit ribosomal RNA", at positions 28 to 417 of the family's 1533-position model. The record is from RNAcentral.
GACGAACGCUUGCGGCGUGCCUAAGAAAUGCAAGUCGAACGGGGGCUUCGGCCCUAGUGGCGAACGGUCGCGUAACACGUGGGCAACCUGCCCUGAAGCGGGGGGACAACAGUUCGAAAGGACUGCUAAUACCGCAUGUGGACCUUUUUCGGCAUCGAUUAAGUCUAAAGGAUUUAUCCACUUCAGGAUGGGCCCGCGGCCUAUCAGCUAGUUGGUGAGGUAACGGCUCACCAAGGCUUCGACGGGUAGCUGGUCUGAGAGGACGACCAGCCGGAUUGGGACUGAGAUACGGGCCCAGACUCCUACGGGGGGCAGCAAUUAGGGAAUCUUGCGCAAUGGGGGCAACCCUGACGCAGCGACGCCGCGUGAAGGAUGAAGUCCU